Small nuclear RNA from Lynx canadensis (Canada lynx), 104 nucleotides. NCBI's taxonomy places the organism in Eukaryota, Metazoa, Chordata, Mammalia, Carnivora, Felidae. The record is from Ensembl.
GUGCUCACUUUGGCAGCACUUACACUAAAAUUGGAAUGACGCAGAAACUACUAUAGCCUCUGCACAAAGAUGACAUGCAAAUUUGUGAAACAUUACAUGUUUUU